Molecule: ribosomal RNA, 1269 nt
Filed under: Calanus pacificus
Lineage: Eukaryota; Metazoa; Arthropoda; Copepoda; Calanoida; Calanidae
Description: SSU rRNA
Rfam family: Eukaryotic small subunit ribosomal RNA
Source: RNAcentral
AUCGAAGAUCGAGGUAGUGACGAAAAAUAACGAUCCAGGACUCAUCCGAGGCCCUGGAAUCGGAAUGAGUACACUUUAAAACCGUCCCCGAGGAUCUAUUGGAGGGCAAGUCUGGUGCCAGCAGCCGCGGUAAUUCCAGCUCCAAUAGCGUAUAUUAAAGUUGUUGUGGUUAAAAAGCUCGUAGUUGGAUCUCGGCGGACUGAGGGCGGUUUGCUUGCUAGUAUUACUGCCCUAUAGUCCGUAGUUUUGCCAGAGGUUUCGGGGUGCUCUUAAUCGAGUGUCCCGGGAUGCUGGCAGGUUUACUUUGAAAAAAUUAGAGUGCUCAAAGCAGGCUAUUACGCCUGAAUAUUCGUGCAUGGAAUAAUAGAAUAGGAAGUCGUUUCUAUUUUGUUGGUUUUCGGAAAUCGACUUAAUGAUUAAUAGGGACAGUCGGGGGCAUUUGUAUUCAAACGACAGAGGUGAAAUUCUUGGACCGUUUGAAGACAAACUACUGCGAAAGCAUUUGCCAAGAAUGUUUUCAUUAAUCAAGAACGAAAGUUAAAGGUUCGAAGGCGAUUAGAUACCGCCCUAGUUUUAACCAUAAACGAUGCCAGCUAGCGAUCUGCGGACGUUUUUUUUGUAGACUCCGCAGGAAGCUUCCGGGAAACCAAAGCAUUUGGGUUCCAGGGGAAGUAUGGUUGCAAAGCUGAAACUUAAAGGAAUUGACGGAAGGGCACCACCAGGAGUGGAGCCUGUGGCUUAAUUUGACUCAACACGGGAAAUCUCACCAGGCCCGGACACUGGAAGGAUUGACAGAUUGAUAGCUCUUUCUUGAUUCGGUGGGUGGUGGUGCAUGGCCGUUCUUAGUUGGUGGAGUGAUUUGUCUGGUUAAUUCCGAUAACGAACGAGACUCUGUCCUGCUAAAUAGUGUCUGCUUCUCUUUUGAGCAGACAAUUCUUCUUAGAGGGACUGGCGACUCUUAGUCGCACGAGAUUGAGCAAUAACAGGUCUGUGAUGCCCUUAGAUGUUCUGGGCCGCACACGCGCUACACUGAAUAGAUCAGCGUGUUCUCCCUUUCCGAGAGGAACGGGUAAACCGCUGAACCCUAUUCGUGGUAGGGAUCGGGGCUUGCAAUUAUUCCCCGUGAACCAGGAAUUCCCAGUAGGCGCAAGUCAUAAGCUUGCGUCGAUUACGUCCCUGCCCUUUGUACACACCGCCCGUCGCUACUACCGAUUGAACGUUUUAGUGAGGUCCUCGGACUGUUUGCCUGGCGGAUUACUCUGCCUGGCU